Molecule: transfer RNA, 72 nt
Filed under: Candidatus Daviesbacteria bacterium
Lineage: Bacteria; Candidatus Daviesiibacteriota
Description: tRNA-Gly
Rfam family: tRNA
About the family: Transfer RNA (tRNA) molecules are approximately 80 nucleotides in length. Their secondary structure includes four short double-helical elements and three loops (D, anti-codon, and T loops).
Source: RNAcentral
GCGGUGGUAAUUCAGUGGUAGAAUGCUUCCUUCCCAAGGAAGAUGUCGGGGGUUCAAGUCCCCUCCACCGCU